GCCACAUCACAAUGAAAUACUGGUUCUCGUAUGAUCGCCAAAGUUAAGCAAUGUUGAGCCUGGUUAGAACCUAGAUGGGUGACCACUUAGGAAUACCAGGUGCUGUAA
Acanthosepion pharaonis is the source of this 108-nucleotide non-coding RNA. NCBI's taxonomy places the organism in Eukaryota, Metazoa, Mollusca, Cephalopoda, Sepiida, Sepiidae. The record is from the annotation of a GenBank genome assembly.